Molecule: ribosomal RNA, 500 nt
Filed under: uncultured bacterium
Lineage: Bacteria
Description: partial 16S ribosomal RNA
Rfam family: Bacterial small subunit ribosomal RNA
Source: RNAcentral
AUUGAACGCUGGCGGAAUGCUUUACACAUGCAAGUCGAACGGCAGCACGGACUUCGGUCUGGUGGCGAGUGGCGAACGGGUGAGUAACAUAUCGGAACGUAUCCAAUAAUGGGGGAUAACUAAUCGAAAGGUUGGCUAAUACCGCAUACGCCCUACGGGGGAAAGCUAGGGACCUUCGGGCCUGGCGUUAAUGGAGCGGCCGAUAUCUGAUUAGCUAGUUGGUGGGGUAAAGGCCCACCAAGGCGACGAUCAGUAGCUGGUCGGAGAGGACGACCAGCCACACUGGAACUGAGACACGGUCCAGACUCCUACGGGAGGCAGCAGUGGGGAAUUUUGGACAAUGGGCGCAAGCCUGAUCCAGCCAUUCCGCGUGAGUGAAGAAGGCCUUCGGGUUGUAAAGCUCUUUCGCAAGGGAAGAAAACUCAGCCUCUAACAUAGGCUGAGGUUGACGGUACCUUGAUAAGAAGCACCGGCUAACUACGUGCCAGCAGCCGCCGUAA